Molecule: ribosomal RNA, 381 nt
Filed under: uncultured eukaryote
Lineage: Eukaryota
Description: partial 18S ribosomal RNA
Rfam family: Eukaryotic small subunit ribosomal RNA
Source: RNAcentral
CAAUAGCGUAUAUUAAAGUUGUUGCGGUAAAAAAGCUCGUAGUUGGAUUUCUACCGAAGAUAGCCGGUCGGGACUUCGACCUUGUAUCUGGUUUUGUCUUUGGUAUCCUCAUAGGGAACGUUUCUGCGCUUUAUUGCGUGGUGCGGUAUCUAUGACUUUUACUUUGAGGAAAUUAGAGUGUUCACGGCAGGCAAACGCCUUGAAUAUAUUAGCAUGGAAUAAUAACAUAGGAUCUUCGUCCUAUUUUGUUGGUUUCUAGGGCUAAGAUAAUGAUUAAUAGGGAUAAUUGGGGGCAUCUGUAUCAACGCGUCAGAGGUGGAAUUCUUGGAUUGCGUUGCGACAAACUACUGCGAAAGCAUUUGCCAAGGAUGUUUUCAUUGA